RNAcentral lists this ribosomal RNA (812 nucleotides) under uncultured bacterium. Its description in RNAcentral is "bacterial SSU rRNA". It matches the Rfam family "Bacterial small subunit ribosomal RNA", at positions 56 to 925 of the family's 1533-position model. The record is from RNAcentral.
UGCAGUCGAACGAUAUAGUGGCGGANGGGUGAGUAACGCGUGGGAAUAUGCCUCUCAGUACGGAAUAGCUUUUGGAAACGAAAGGUAAUACCGUAUACGCCCUCCGGGGGAAAGAUUUAUCGCUGAGAGAUUAGCCCGCGUUAGAUUAGCUAGUUGGUAAGGUAACGGCUUACCAAGGCGACGAUCUAUAGCUGGUCUGAGAGGAUGAUCAGCCACACUGGGACUGAGACACGGCCCAGACUCCUACGGGAGGCAGCAGUGGGGAAUCUUGCACAAUGGGCGAAAGCCUGAUGCAGCCAUGCCGCGUGAAUGAUGAAGGCCUUAGGGUUGUAAAAUUCUUUCGCCAGGGAUGAUAAUGACAGUACCUGGUAAAGAAGCCCCGGCUAACUUCGUGCCAGCAGCCGCGGUAAUACGAAGGGGGCUAGCGUUGUUCGGAAUUACUGGGCGUAAAGCGCGCGUAGGCGGACUUUUAAGUCAGAGGUGAAAUCCCGAUGCUCAACAUCGGAACUGCCUUUGAAACUGGAAGUCUAGAGGCCAGGAGAGGUCAGUGGAAUACCGAGUGUAGAGGUGAAAUUCGUAGAUAUUCGGUGGAACACCAGUGGCGAAGGCGACUGACUGGACUGGUACUGACGCUGAGGCGCGAAAGUGUGGGGGAGCAAACAGGAUUAGAUACCCUGGUAGUCCACACCGUAAACGAUGACAGCUAGUUGUUGGCAGGCAUGCCUGUCGGUGACGCAGCUAACGCAUUAAGCUGUCCGCCUGGGGAGUACNGNCGCAAGGNUAAAACUCAAGGAAAUUGACGGGGGNCCGCA